UACGGAGGAUCCGAGCGUUAUCCGGAUUUAUUGGGUUUAAAGGGAGCGUAGGCGGGUUGUUAAGUCAGUUGUGAAAGUUUGCGGCUCAACCGCAAAAUUGCAGUUGAUACUGGCAUCCUUGAGUACAGUAGAGGUAGGCGGAAUUCGUGGUGUAGCGGUGAAAUGCUUAGAUAUCACGAAGAACUCCGAUUGCGAAGGCAGCCUGCUGGACUGUAACUGACGCUGAUGCUCGAAAGUGUGGGUAUCAAACAGG
RNAcentral lists this ribosomal RNA (253 nucleotides) under uncultured bacterium. RNAcentral describes it as "partial 16S ribosomal RNA". It matches the Rfam family "Bacterial small subunit ribosomal RNA", at positions 524 to 776 of the family's 1533-position model. The record is from RNAcentral.